RNAcentral lists this long non-coding RNA (292 nucleotides) under Fukomys damarensis (Damara mole-rat). RNAcentral describes it as "lncRNA (ENSFDAG00000030027.1)". Lineage: Eukaryota; Metazoa; Chordata; Mammalia; Rodentia; Bathyergidae. The record is from RNAcentral.
CUAACCCAGAGCACUAUCAACAAGCAUCACGUCCUUUUUCGAAAACCUGAGGCAGGAACACUGGCAUCUUAGGUAUCGGCUAAUGGACAAGGCAGUGUUAAUUUGGACGAUGGGUCCUCCAGAAGGUCCUGAAGUCAUUUCUUGGAGGUGUUUACUUGUUCUUUCAGCAAGCCAGGCAGACUCUGGUUGCUGCUUCUACACACUCUUCAAACGCCCAUAUCUGCCUGGACACGCAGGUUGUUCGGGGGCCUUAGCAGAGAAUCUGGGAAGACCAGGAUAGAAGACACGCAGG